GUAUAGCUCAGUGGUAGAGCAUAUGCUUAGCAUGCAAGAGGUCCUGGGUUCAAUCCUCAGUAC
RNAcentral lists this transfer RNA (63 nucleotides) under Camelus bactrianus (Bactrian camel). It matches the Rfam family "tRNA", at positions 5 to 66 of the family's 71-position model. Rfam says of the family: Transfer RNA (tRNA) molecules are approximately 80 nucleotides in length. Their secondary structure includes four short double-helical elements and three loops (D, anti-codon, and T loops). RNAcentral also lists the same sequence under 2 other names. The record is from Rfam by way of RNAcentral. Lineage: Eukaryota; Metazoa; Chordata; Mammalia; Artiodactyla; Camelidae.